UAGUCCCACUCCUAGAGAUGACGUUUUCUGGGUGUGCACAGGAACCCUGUGUUCUUUACCUGCAGCAAAAUGAACAGAAGAAACGAAAAAUCACCUACUGGGAAAAUCCUCAUAAACUGACUGUGUGCAUUGGUCCUCUGGAAAGAAGAGAGCUGAGCCCGUGUUUUAGUGAACUGAAGAAGGACUGAAACAUCAGCUCCAGAAGGAGAGUCUGUCCCCCAGGCACUGUUAUUGCUCAGGAAUAAUGUGACACAGCAGGUCCCUGACACGGGCAGCAAGGUGAGCUCUGGUUCAUCUGGUGCAAUGGCAGUGCCCUCUUUUGCAAUGGGCUUUGAGAUCUGCUGAAGGAAGAAGGACUAGAAAAUCAAGGUGUCUCUGGCCCAAGGCACCGAAAGGCGGCUUUU
Empidonax traillii (willow flycatcher) is the source of this 404-nucleotide long non-coding RNA. RefSeq lists it as uncharacterized. NCBI's taxonomy places the organism in Eukaryota, Metazoa, Chordata, Aves, Passeriformes, Tyrannidae. The transcript is spliced from 3 exons. The record is from RefSeq and is a predicted model, not a curated record.